UUCUGAUCCAACCAUAAAUUCAUACAUUGUGCCCCUCUCCUGAGAGGAAUGGAAGUUCAAUAUAUAGCGAGAUGUUGAAGGCUAAUGUUAACUAGCUAACAUUGACCAUGAAAGGAAGUUAGGCUAGCGAGCAAGCAUUUUAGCCAGGUUGCCUAGGACAACAAAAAAUAAAAGCAUGUGCUGUAUGACGGAGUCAACAUGAUUUGUUGUACUUGCACAAUGCACUCACGUGCAGAAAUCAGAACCAUAGACAGCCACAUCAUAUUUAGCAUACAUUGAUUGGACUAAAUCGUUUAGUCCAGUCAUAGGUGAUUUGAUGAGGUUGAAGUUGAAAUAGUGCUGCGAUAGUGGAGGCAGCUUGUAUUGGUCACAUACACAUAUUUAGCAGAUGUUAUUGCAGCGAAAUGCUUGUGUUCCUAGCUCCAACAGUGCAGUAGUGUAACAAUUCACAACAAUACACACAAAUCUAAAAGUAAAAGAACAGUUAAAACGGUUAUAAAAUGCACUGCCUAACCUGAAUUUUUAUUUAUUUUUUAUAUUCCUUGUUGCAGAGAAUGACGAGAUCAAGCGUGGAAUCCUACUGAUUCUCUCUGGCUGUGUUGGCAAGACGACCAUGGAGGGCACAUCUCUCAGGGGGACAUCAAUGUUUGCAUCUUUUGCGACCCCAGUACCGCCGAGAGACAGUUUCUUAAGUAAUCCACCAAGCACUAUCCUAUUUGUAACCAACAUAUAAGUUACUUGAAAUUGAAGGUCAAACCUGUGAUCAAAGCUUCAACAGAGGCAUUUGGAGUUGUUUACUACUGUUGCAUAGGCUGUCUUUCUGGUCUCGGGAGGUCUCAUUAUUCCUCAUAGCAAUGUAGCAUGUUGCAUGUUUGGAGUAGUAUCUAGUGAGAGACUAGCAUUGCAUGCUGUGGAUGUCAGCUGCCAACCCCAUCGAUGGGAGAUACAACCACUUUAAGUCUCUGAAACAGAACGUCAACAUGUCAGAACACAUCAUUUUCAGAUUUUACCUCUUCGUCAAUUUGAUUGAUGAGUGCAAUGAGGUGACAAAUUAUGUCAUAGCCAGACGUAAUGUAGACCUGCACUGUAGAAACAUGGAAUCUGCAGAGCGAGUCUACGCCACUGAUGAGGUCCAAAGAUACAUAUUGUUUACUCUACAGUUUCAACCAGAGGUGUGGUGCAUGUUGACCCCUGAUCACCUCGGAGGCCAAGGAGUUGACGCACAAGCAUCUGUGUCAGAGUGACAGCACCAAGCCAGCCUGGUGUAUCAUUGUCAGGCAGCUAGAUAGCAUGCUCCGACUGUCUGAAGGCAUGGCCAGGCUCUACUGCUCAGAUGUGGCUGGUCAGACACCUACUACUGAAUUAUACAUCCCCAUAUGUAUAUGGGCCCCUAUACAUUUAGGCCCUCUGACUGCUGAAUACGUCUGUCAUCAGUGUUGACUCCCCAGACAUCAACUUCGACCAGGAACAAGAUGACAAUGGGGAAAUGAAUGAAUGACUUGAUAGAUGAGGCUGUGAGGGGGAGAAACGGCACUAAUGGCCAUCAUGCAGAGGAGGCUAUGGACAUAGACCAUGGGGCAGGCAGACCUGAGAAGACCAGCACUGCCAAUCCUGCUCUCAAAAUGACCUUCGCUGAGUAUUGGAGGGUCUCCAACCUCAUCAUUCUGCACAUGCACAAGAUGGAUGAUAGUCAGAGUUCAAACAAACUGAAAGGAUCCUUCAUUUUCAAUUUAGUUUAAUUAAAAGGAUACUAGUUUUGUCAACGUUUAACAAAAUGUUUCAUUCUUACAGUUGAUGAAGAGUGUUCACUGAAGAAGUGAAAGCUGAUUUAACUUGUACCUGAAAGAGAUGAAGAGUGAGAUCGAGUCAGAAGCUGAGAUGGUUGCCAAGAAGUAUCUGAUUGAGAAAGUGCUUCAGAGACGAAUCCAUUAUGACCACAUCAUCAUAGAGUUAACGAAGACUGGGCUGAAGAAAGUUGGUGUUGAGGGAGAGGAACCUGUGGAGGAAGAGGACCCCUUCUUAGUGGUCAAUGUCAAUUACAUCCUGGAAGACUAGGCAUGGUCCACGUCCACCUCAGCCGUAGAUAUUGUGGAAAGGGUCAUUUAAUUCAGGCUUAUCUGAAAGGAAGGCUCUCCAGAGAGUAGUGAGGUCUGCACAACGCAUCACCGGGGGCAAACUACCUGCCCUCCAGGACACCUACACCACCCGUUGUUACAGGAAGGCCAUAAAGAUCAUCAAGGACAUCAACCACCCGA
Molecule: long non-coding RNA, 2255 nt
Organism: Oncorhynchus gorbuscha (pink salmon)
Lineage: Eukaryota; Metazoa; Chordata; Actinopteri; Salmoniformes; Salmonidae
Exons: 6
Source: RefSeq, a predicted model, not a curated record